Molecule: ribosomal RNA, 494 nt
Filed under: uncultured bacterium
Lineage: Bacteria
Description: partial 16S ribosomal RNA
Rfam family: Bacterial small subunit ribosomal RNA
Source: RNAcentral
GACGAACGCUGGCGGCGUGCUUUAGGCAUGCAAGUCGAACGCGAAAGCCCCUUCGGGGGUGAGUAGAGUGGCGAACGGGUGAGUAACACGUGGGUAACCUGCCCCUCGCAGGGGGAUAACCAGGGGAAACCCCGGCUAAUACCCCGUACGCUUGCUGGGGCGCAUGCUCCGGCAAGGAAAGGUAGCUUCGGCCAUCCGGCGAGGGAGGGGCCCGCGGCCCAUUAGCUAGUUGGUGGGGUAACGGCCCACCAAGGCGACGAUGGGUAGCUGGCCUGAGAGGGUGGUCAGCCACUCUGGGACUGAGACACGGCCCAGACUCCUACGGGAGGCAGCAGCCAGGAAUCUUGCGCAAUGGGCGAAAGCCUGACGCAGCAACGCCGCGUGGGCGAUGAAGGCCUUCGGGUCGUAAAGCCCUGUUGUCGGGGACGAAGGGCGAAGGGUUAAUAGCCCCUAGCCUGACGGUACCCGACGAGGAAGCCCCGGCUAACUACGUG